RNAcentral lists this ribosomal RNA (446 nucleotides) under uncultured bacterium. Its description in RNAcentral is "partial 16S ribosomal RNA". It matches the Rfam family "Bacterial small subunit ribosomal RNA", at positions 338 to 795 of the family's 1533-position model. The record is from RNAcentral.
CCUACGGGGUGCUGCAGUCGAGAAUCAUUCACAAUGGGGGAAACCCUGAUGGUGCGACGCCGCGUGGGGGAAUGAAGGUCUUCGGAUUGUAAACCCCUGUCAUGUGGGAGCAAAUUAAAAAGAUAGUACCACAAGAGGAAGAGACGGCUAACUCUGUGCCAGCAGCCGCGGUAAUACAGAGGUCUCAAGCGUUGUUCGGAAUCACUGGGCGUAAGGCGUGCGUAGGCUGUUUCGUAAGUCGUGUGUGAAAGGCGCGGGCUCAACCCGCGGACGGCACAUGAUACCGCGAGACUAGAGUAAUGGAGGGGGAACCGGAAUUCUCGGUGUAGCAGUGAAAUGCGUAGAUAUCGAGAGGAACACUCGUGGCGAAGGCGGGUUCCUGGACAUUAACUGACGCUGAGGCACGAAGGCCAGGGGAGCGAAAGGGAUUAGAUACCCUUGUAGUC